ACAGUCCUUUAACUUCGAUAUACAGUAUAGGGAAGAGCUUUGACGCCCGGCCUACCCUCCCCCCGAACUGAUCGAUUCCCCCCUCGGCCCAUGUCCUCCAACCUUUCGUCCGGCUGCAUCAUGACGAUCGGCCCUGGCUUAUCACCUCAUUGCUGCCUUCGGUUUGGCUUCUGGCGUGACCUCUGCCCCACGCAGCUGCCUCGGACCCGAGGGUCAUCCGACUCCUCGGCUGUAGGCAACGCGUGGGUAGUGCCCUCUGCCCGGCCAAACCCGACGGUUGUAGAUGACCCAGGAAUUCUGGACCCCAGGACCAGGACUCACCUUAACGCCUCACUGGACCCCCAUGGAGAAGCCUUUGGCCUCGGAAAAACAAACAAACAAACAAACAGUGUGAGCGGAAGAGGUGAAGAACGAUGAGAAGAAAGAAAUAGAAUGAAAACACACACAAACUGAUAAGGGCACGAUUUCUUAGCAACUGACGUCUGCUCGCGAUGAGGAUUAUUCGGCGACUGAAAAUGCAAAACUAUAAUAUUUGUGCGGAAUUUGUUUUCAAAAUUUUGAAGGAAAUGUCGAAAAAAAGCAAGGAAACUGACUCCAGCGUUUUUUCCGACAAAAAAGGCAGCGGCACUACAAUCCAACAGAUGGGCACCACGGCAACAGCUAAUGAUGUGUUGCGUAUUAUGGUGGACAAUAAAAUGACAAAGCCAACAGCAGCGAACACAUAUGAUGAAAUGAACAAGAGCAUUAUAUACCAAGGGCAUUUACUCAAGCUCAUCGAGGUUCCAUUCCACUCAAUCUGAAAAAACAAUGCAUCGAUUAAAAUAUCAAUAUUAUUAAAUGAGUCAGCCAAUGCACCUUAAGCAAACAAGUUAUAAGAACUGAAGUCACUAGAAAUUGACAGAGUCCAUUGAAGUACCAAGAUGCAAUUUUCAAUGAUUUUCCCAUGCUGGUAACUUUCUGAAGGAAAAUCUGGCCAAACUCACGUUCCUCUACAAUAAGCUGAAACAAGAUCCAGAAAAUAUAAGCGUACAUUCAUUCCAUUACUAGACGUUAUAUAAAACAAUGAAAUAGGUAUCAAGAAGACUGAGUCCACAGAGCAAUAAACAGGUAUGCGAACAUGUUUUGGAUGGUUUUUGUUAAAAGGCUGUAAGAUAAAAAGAAUUUUGGGUAUAAUUCUAAAGUGGCUG
Drosophila obscura is the source of this 1187-nucleotide long non-coding RNA. RefSeq lists it as uncharacterized. The transcript has 5 exons. The record is from RefSeq and is a predicted model, not a curated record. Lineage: Eukaryota; Metazoa; Arthropoda; Insecta; Diptera; Drosophilidae.